CCGCCUGGGGAGUACGGCCGCAAGGUUAAAACUCAAAUGAAUUGACGGGGGCCCGCACAAGCGGUGGAGCAUGUGGUUUAAUUCGAUGCAACGCGAAGAACCUUACCUGGUCUUGACAUCCACAGAAGAAUCCAGAGAUGGAUUUGUGCCUUCGGGAACUGUGAGACAGGUGCUGCAUGGCUGUCGUCAGCUCGUGUUGUGAAAUGUUGGGUUAAGUCCCGCAACGAGCGCAACCCUUAUCCUUUGUUGCCAGCGAU
Molecule: ribosomal RNA, 257 nt
Filed under: Salmonella enterica
Lineage: Bacteria; Pseudomonadati; Pseudomonadota; Gammaproteobacteria; Enterobacterales; Enterobacteriaceae
Also listed under: 1 other name
Description: partial 16S ribosomal RNA
Rfam family: Bacterial small subunit ribosomal RNA
Source: RNAcentral